GCCUGUAAGUUCUACAGCUCCAAUGCUGCUCCUUUGGGGAUCUCCUUCAUUUGUAAUGACCCUUUGGCCAAACAACUCAGUGUCAUCUGCAAGACAGGAGAUGACCUGAAUCAGGACAUGCUGGUGCUUCAGAUAGUCCGUGUGAUGGACUCAGUUUGGCUCCAGGAGGGGCUGGAUUUAAAGAUGAUCACUUACAGAUGCAUCUCCACAGGAAAAGCUCAGGGGCUGGUUGAAGUGGUUCCUGAUGCAGUG
Molecule: long non-coding RNA, 252 nt
Organism: Oryzias melastigma (Indian medaka)
Lineage: Eukaryota; Metazoa; Chordata; Actinopteri; Beloniformes; Adrianichthyidae
Exons: 3
Source: RefSeq, a predicted model, not a curated record